GGGUUAAAUUUUCUUUAAAAAUAUAUAUAUGUAUAUUCUUCAGUCACGUUUUAUUAUCCGUUCUGAUGAAUUUGAAUGACAACUUGUCAUAUUUAAUUCAUGUUUUUUUUCUAUUAUUAUUUUUUUGUUUAGAAAGUAAUUUUUUAAAACUUAAAUGUCAAUCUGUAUGACGUAAAUAACGAACAAUAAGCUUUAAAAAAUAAUAAUAAUAAUAUCUUCAGAGGAUAAUCAAGACAUAAUCUAGGAAAUAAUUACACAAGAUACGAUGAGCUCAAUGCUAAUCUUACGUGAAAAUUUCAACAUCGACUCCUUAAAAAAAAAAAAGAUAAUGGAAGGAAAAAUUCACGAUAAGUUUCUAAGAAAUCAUACAGAGAACUGGUUUCACUAGAAGGCAUUAAAAGUCGAAAGAAAGUUAUUUACAAGAUUAUAUUUAGAAAGAAUUACUAUAAUUCUUUGAUAAUACAAACCAGAAAAAUACUGCUAAAAAUUCCGCCUACAUUAUGAGAAAAUUGUAGAAAUGAUAUCUUAUAAAGUGAAUUGAUUUUGGCCUUAAAAUACAGAAUACUUGGAGCAUGGCGUAAAGAAAACUUGUGCCAAAUUUCAACAAAAUGGUGGUCUCUAGAGGCGCCUACUUAGUCGAAGAAGAAGAAGAAGAAGAAGAAGAAGAAGAAAGUGGAGGAGGAGAAGAAUUACUUGUCAAAUUAAUUUUGAAAUUUUCGAAUUGUAUUGUAAACACUGAUUGAAAUUAAAGAAUGAAUUAUUCAAAUUCGAAAAUAUAUCGAUUUUUAUAGAAAUAAAAAGAAAUUAAGACUUUAAAAAAUAGGUAUAAAAUACGACUUUGUUUUACAUUCAAUGAGUGAGUAAUGUCGUCUAUAUUUAUACUUAACCUUGUCAUUUGCUUCGCCAUUUGAUAAGGCACUCGAACGAGUAAUUUUUAUCUUA
Molecule: long non-coding RNA, 942 nt
Organism: Centruroides sculpturatus (bark scorpion)
Lineage: Eukaryota; Metazoa; Arthropoda; Arachnida; Scorpiones; Buthidae
Exons: 3
Source: RefSeq, a predicted model, not a curated record